RNAcentral lists this ribosomal RNA (450 nucleotides) under uncultured bacterium. Its description in RNAcentral is "partial 16S ribosomal RNA". It matches the Rfam family "Bacterial small subunit ribosomal RNA", at positions 354 to 796 of the family's 1533-position model. The record is from RNAcentral.
GUGGGGAAUAUUGGACAAUGGGCGAAAGCCUGAUCCAGCCAUGCCGCGUGUGUGAAGAAGGUCUUCGGAUUGUAAAGCACUUUAAGUUGGGAGGAAGGGCAGUAAGUUAAUACCUUGCUGUUUUGACGUUACCGACAGAAUAAGCACCGGCUAACUCUGUGCCAGCAGCCGCGGUAAUACAGAGGGUGCAAGCGUUAAUCGGAAUUACUGGGCGUAAAGCGCGCGUAGGUGGUUUUGUAAGUUGGAGGUGAAAUCCCCGGGCUCAACCUGGGAACUGCCUCCAAAACUGCAUGACUAGAGUACGGUAGAGGGUAGUGGAAUUUCCGGUGUAGCGGUGAAAUGCGUAGAUAUAGGAAGGAACACCAGUGGCGAAGGCGACUACCUGGACUGAUACUGACACUGAGGUGCGAAAGCGUGGGGAGCAAACAGGAUUAGAAACCCCGGUAGUCC